RNAcentral lists this small RNA (84 nucleotides) under Flavobacterium fryxellicola. RNAcentral describes it as "Flavo-1 RNA". It matches the Rfam family "Flavo-1 RNA". Lineage: Bacteria; Pseudomonadati; Bacteroidota; Flavobacteriia; Flavobacteriales; Flavobacteriaceae. The record is from RNAcentral.
CCCUAGCCCAGAUAGCAGUGUAAAGCCCACAGUCGCGCCUUUUUUUGGCGAGACGAGGACUUGAAAUGGAUAGCUGGAACUAGC